Molecule: long non-coding RNA, 707 nt
Organism: Gadus chalcogrammus (walleye pollock)
Lineage: Eukaryota; Metazoa; Chordata; Actinopteri; Gadiformes; Gadidae
Exons: 3
Source: RefSeq, a predicted model, not a curated record
AACACAUAUCGACGGGGAAACAGAUCUCGACACAACACCUGUUUUCAGAUCUCGACACAACACCGGUGCAUUCGGCAAUCGACUUGUGUGGACUUCCUGUAAACACGGACCUACCGUUAUGGAUACAAACAUGAAGCACAAGCCAGAGGAGCGUAUGAGAAGCUGAUUGGUCGGGAGCAUGCAGGCUUCUCAUGUAUGGACAGUGGUCUCUGGCUGAACCCCAAGUGGCCCUACACGGGGUCCUCCCCUGAUGGGAUUGUCACUUGUCACUGUCACGGAACUGGCAUCUGCGAGAGCGACACUCUCGCCUAGAUGAGACCUAUCUGCGUUUGUGUGCUGACGAGAAGGGCUUCUGCCUCAUCAAUGAUGGGGAUAACGUCAUGCUGGACCGGAGUCAUGAGUACUACUACCAAGUUCAGGCACAGCUUCACAUUGUAGAUGCUGACUACUGUGACUUUGUUGUGUGGAACCGCAAUGACAUUUUUGUUGAAAGGAUUUUGCCUGAUCUUGAAUUUUGGGAUGAUGUGAUUCCUAAAGAAAGAGUAUACUACUGGAAAUACUGGUGAAAAAAGGAUAUAAAAAGAUGAAAUGGCAUUGAGAAUACAGAAUAAUACAUGGUUUAUCUACAAGAUUAGAUGUUUUAACAAUUGUUAUAAUAAAUACAAUAUGUGCAAUAAUACAUUGGAAUCCAUUUCAUUAUAUAAAAU